This 197-nucleotide non-coding RNA is filed under the name Ruminococcaceae bacterium OttesenSCG-928-O06. RNAcentral describes it as "6S RNA". It matches the Rfam family "6S / SsrS RNA". Rfam says of the family: E. coli 6S RNA was the first non coding RNA to be sequenced, but its function was unknown until recently. It consists of 184 nucleotides that fold into an extended hairpin structure with a large single-stranded internal bulge. The 6S RNA specifically associates with RNA polymerase holoenzyme containing the sigma70 specificity factor. The record is from RNAcentral. Lineage: Bacteria; Bacillati; Bacillota; Clostridia; Eubacteriales; Oscillospiraceae.
UACAACCUGCCUUGUUCGAUUGUUGCAGCCAUAUUUAUCCUACUGGUUAUGAAAUGGGAGCCUGAGUCCCUGGGUGGAUUGCAGACCUCCCGCAGGCACUGCCUGCGGAAGAAGGGAGCGCGAAGCCCACGGCAGGGCACCCCCCUGCUUGAGAAGAGUGGGUUAUAACUAGGCUGCAGACGGCAAGGCGGGUGUAU